Molecule: unclassified non-coding RNA, 602 nt
Filed under: Sedum apoleipon
Lineage: Eukaryota; Viridiplantae; Streptophyta; Magnoliopsida; Saxifragales; Crassulaceae
Description: sequence contains ITS1, 5.8S rRNA gene and ITS2
Rfam family: 5.8S ribosomal RNA (bases 235-390)
Source: RNAcentral
UCGAAGCCUAGAAAGCACGACCGCGAAUGAGUUUACAAUUGGGGAAGCGUCGAGAGGCCCUUGGGCAGAUCGUUGCAACCUUGCUCGGUUGGUGAGGAGCUUUUUUGCUGCUCGUCUUCUGAAACUAACGAACCCCGGCGCGGACAGCGCCAAGGAAUCAAAACGAAAAGAACUUGUCCCUCCAACCCGUUGAUCGGGAUGUGUGGGCCUUGUCUGUUUAGAAAAUAUCAUAACGACUCUCGGCAACGGAUAUCUCGCCUCUCGCAUCGAUGAAGAACGUAGCAAAAUGCGAUACUUGGUGUGAAUUGCAGAAUCCCGUGAAUCAUCGAGUCUUUGAACGCAAGUUGCGCCUGAAGCCUUUAGGCNGAGGGCACGUCUGCCUGGGCGUCAUGCACUGCGAUGCCCCACACAAAUGUGCGGGCGAAUCUUGGCCUCCCGUUAGCCAACUCGCGGAUGGCUUAAAAACGAGCCUCGAGAUGGAAAUACGUCGCGACAAGUGGUGGUUGAAGAGGCCUCGGCCUUAGAACUUAGCGUGUUGCGUCCUUUCCCCUCUUUCGCUCAAAAAAGACCUUAGCAGAGUGCGAUAAUCGUGCUCCAGCAUC